UUUUUUUACAUAAAUAAGGCCGUUAGUUUUCUCGUUUGAAUUGUUUUACAUUGUCUUAUCGGGGCCUAUUAUAGCUGACUAUGCGGUAUGGGCUUUGCUCAUUGUCGAAGGCCGUACGGUGACCUAUAUUUGUUAAUGUCUGUGUCAUUUUGGUCUUGUGUGUAUAGUUGUCUCAUUGGCAAUCAUACCACAUCUUCUUUUUAUAU
Molecule: long non-coding RNA, 206 nt
Filed under: Mytilus galloprovincialis (Mediterranean mussel)
Lineage: Eukaryota; Metazoa; Mollusca; Bivalvia; Mytilida; Mytilidae
Source: RNAcentral